RNAcentral lists this ribosomal RNA (1468 nucleotides) under uncultured prokaryote. Its description in RNAcentral is "partial 16S ribosomal RNA". It matches the Rfam family "Bacterial small subunit ribosomal RNA". The record is from RNAcentral.
AUUGAACGCUGGCGGCAUGCCUAACACAUGCAAGUCGAACGGAAACGAUGGAGAGCCUGCUCUUCAGGCGUCGAGUGGCGGACGGGUGAGUAAUGCUUAGGAAUCUGCCCAUGUAGUGGGGGACAACGUGUGGAAACGCACGCUAAUACCGCAUACGCCCUACGGGGGAAAGCAGGGGAUCUUCGGACCUUGCGCUAUUGGAUGAGCCUAAGUCGGAUUAGCUUGUUGGUAGGGUAACGGCCUACCAAGGCGACGAUCCCUAGCUGGUUUGAGAGGAUGAUCAGCCACACUGGAACUGAGACACGGUCCAGACUCCUACGGGAGGCAGCAGUGGGGAAUAUUGCACAAUGGACGAAAGCCUGAUGCAGCAAUGCCGCGUGUGUGAAGAAGGCCUGCGGGUUGUAAAGCACUUUCAGUAGAGAAGAAAAGUUUAGGGUUAAUACCCCUGAAUCUUGACGUUACCUACAGAAGAAGCUCCGGCUAACUCCGUGCCAGCAGCCGCGGUAAUACGGAGGGAGCGAGCGUUAAUCGGAAUUACUGGGCGUAAAGCGCGCUUAGGCGGCUUUGUAAGUCGGAUGUGAAAGCCCUGGGCUCAACCUGGGAAUUGCAUUCGAUACUGAAGAGCUAGAGUAUGGUAGAGGGAAGUGGAAUUCCGGGUGUAGCGGUGAAAUGCGUAGAUAUCCGGAGGAACACCAGGGGCGAAGGCGACUUCCUGGGCCAAUACUGACGCUGAGGUACGAAAGCGUGGGUAGCAAACAGGAUUAGAUACCCUGGUAGUCCACGCCGUAAACGAUGUCAACUAGCCGUUGGGUCUAUUUAUAGAUUUAGUGGUGCAGCUAACGCGAUAAGUUCUCCGCCUGGGGAGUACGGCCGCAAGGUUAAAACUCAAAUGAAUUGACGGGGGCCCGCACAAGCGGUGGAGCAUGUGGUUUAAUUCGAUGCAACGCGAAGAACCUUACCUACCCUUGACAUCCUCAGAACUUGUUAGAGAUAACUUGGUGCCUUCGGGAACUGAGUGACAGGUGCUGCAUGGCUGUCGUCAGCUCGUGUCGUGAGAUGUUGGGUUAAGUCCCGUAACGAGCGCAACCCUUGUCCUUAGUUGCCAGCAAGUAAUGUUGGGCACUCUAAGGAGACUGCCGUCGAUAAACCGGAGGAAGGUGGGGACGACGUCAAGUCAUCAUGGCCCUUAUGGGUAGGGCUACACACGUGCUACAAUGGCUGGUACAGAGGGUCGCUAACUUGCGAGAGUACGCUAAUCCCUUAAAGCCGGCCUCAGUUCGGAUUGCAGUCUGCAACUCGACUGCAUGAAGGCGGAAUCGCUAGUAAUCGUGGAUCAGAAUUCCGCGGUGAAUUCGUUCCCGGGCCUUGUACACUCCGCCCGUCACACCAUGGGAGUGGGUUGCAAAAGAAGUGGGUAGGCUAACCUUCGGGAGGCCGCUCACCACUUUGUGGUUCAUGACUGGGGUGA